Molecule: ribosomal RNA, 500 nt
Filed under: uncultured bacterium
Lineage: Bacteria
Description: partial 16S ribosomal RNA
Rfam family: Bacterial small subunit ribosomal RNA
Source: RNAcentral
AUUGAACGCUGGCGGAAUGCUUUACACAUGCAAGUCGAACGGCAGCACGGACUUCGGUCUGGUGGCGAGUGGCGAACGGGUGAGUAAUGUAUCGGAACGUGCCCAGUCGUGGGGGAUAACGUAGUGAAAAUUACGCUAAUACCGCAUACGAUCUAUGGAUGAAAGCGGGGGAUCGCAAGACCUCGCGCGAUUGGAGCGGCCGAUAUCAGAUUAGGUAGUUGGUGGGGUAAAGGCCCACCAAGCCAACAACCUGUAGCUGGUCUGAGAGGACGACCAGCCACACUGGAACUGAGACACGGUCCAGACGCCUACGGGAGGCCGCAGUGGGGAAUUUUGGACAAUGGGCGAAAGCCUGAUCCAGCCAUUCCGCGUGCAGGAUGAAGGCCCUCGGGUUGUAAACUGCUUUUGUACAGAACGAAAGGGUUUCUACUAAUACUAGGAGCUCUUGACGGUACUGUAAGAAUAAGCACCGGCUAACUACGUGCCAGCCGCCGCGGUAA